GACGAACCGUGCAAACGUUGUUCGGAAUCACUGGGCUUAAAGGGCGCGUAGGCGGCGAAUCAAGUCCGGGGUGAAAUCUUUCGGCUCAACCGGAAAAGGGCCUUGGAUACUGGUUCGCUCGAGGGAGGUAGGGGCAUGUGGAACUUCCGGUGGAGCGGUGAAAUGCGUUGAUAUCGGAAGGAACGCCGGUGGCGAAAGCGACGUGCUGGACCUCUACUGACGCUGAGGCGCGAAAGCCAGGGGAGCAAACGGG
Molecule: ribosomal RNA, 253 nt
Filed under: uncultured bacterium
Lineage: Bacteria
Description: partial 16S ribosomal RNA
Rfam family: Bacterial small subunit ribosomal RNA
Source: RNAcentral